Molecule: non-coding RNA, 2057 nt
Organism: Taeniopygia guttata (zebra finch)
Lineage: Eukaryota; Metazoa; Chordata; Aves; Passeriformes; Estrildidae
Source: RefSeq, a predicted model, not a curated record
UUUUGUUCCAGCUGUCCAGCAACAGCUCUGGUUCAGAGCCAAAGCUGCUGCAUAAAGCCCAGCCUGAAAAAUCAUAUUUAGCUGGAGUGGAUUGGACUUCAGAGAAGCUCUAUAUGAGCAAGUCAGAGUGUGCAGACAGUAUUAGCAGACAGGAAUAGCUGAACUUAGAUGAUGCAGAAGCUAUUUAUGGAAAAUUAAGUUACAUUAGUAGCUCAUCUGAGAGCAGCAGAGUUUCUGUUUGCCAGACAUUUUGACUUGAGAGAAGCAAGGCUGGCUGACUUUUAAGGACAGAGAGAAAGGCAGGACAAGGUUCAGGCACAGUUUCAGUAGAGAAGAUCUCAUCUAGGAGGAGAAACUUUAAUGGUUGCAUUAUUAAUCUUUACAGGUCUUUGUGUAAAAAUGAAAUGUGUCAUGAGAACAGGGAUUCCAAAAGGCGUGACACCCACUAUACUGAGCACUGAGCAGCUUGUGCAAAUACAAGCUUGAAUAAAAAAUUAUUACCUGAAUCUUGAAGACUCUACCCUCUAAAGAGGCUGCAAAGCCUUGAGGAGACACCUGAGAGCAUCCAUUGUCUGCUGGGCACAUCCCCCUUGGUGACAGUGACUAGUGGGGUUUCUCCUGCAUGAACUGUGCAAAUCUACAACUGUCUUCAAGACUGACAUGUAAAAAUGCAAGCAAAAGAUAAAUGACAAAAGUGAGGUAGAGGUCAAAGAAUACACCAGAGCUGGGUGCUUGAGAAGAGAAAGUGCUAAAGGUUUACUUCAAUGGGAAUGUUCCCCGACGAAGGUGAAGACUUGACCCAGAAAGGUUUGAGCGAGUUUCUGAACAAACUGAAUUAUCUUUUGUGUUUUGCAAACAUGGGUCAGCUAAAAAAAGUGUAAAAGUUUAGCUCCCAGACCACAUGUUUGAGUGGAACUAUUUCAUGUUAUUCCUUUAAAAAACAGCCCUUCUAUUUUACUUCCAAACUGCAGUGAAAUGUUAUACUCUAAAUAAAAACUGUCUUUAACCCUGCAUUUUGUAAAUGUAGUGCAUUAGCCGGAGCAGUUACUUGUUGUUUAGAUUUUUAUUAAUUCUAAACUUACCUCUUUUCAUGGAGCUCUUUUCAUUCCUCUUCUACUUGAAUUUAUCGGCACAGUAAGAACAUGAUAUUUUCUCAGCAGUUGCUUCAAAGUUUGGGUCUUAUCCUUUUAUUAGAGAACAUUCAUAUUGAGCAAUGUACCACAGUUGAAAUGAGGAUACAAAAUGGGUUUGGUCAUGAAUAAGGAAGACUUGUUUCUUCUUCCAAAGCUAAACUGUCCACAUCCUGAUUCAAUAAUAUUCUUAUCUAUGAAAAUAUUCAUUUCCUUAUUCUGAAAUAUGUUUUAUCUGCCUAAAUUACCCAAGCUUGUUUAGGAUUAUUUGAUCAUUAUAGUUCAUUUAGAGCAGCACUUAAAAAUAGUUUCCAAAAUCUCUGACACAUUUGCAAUGUUUGGGCAUAUUUCAGACUGAAAUUUUCUGUUUUGGUCAGAUAAAAAUAAUUGAUUUACUGAAUCUAAAUUAAUUGCUUUGUUUUCUCUUGCUUAUACAUUUUUUCUCUUUAAAAUUUCAUAUAGCAAAUGAGUACACUAUAUUUUUUGUCUCUCUAAUGCUGCAGUAUAUAAUAUGUUGAUCUUAGAAUAUGAUCUAUAUGGUUUUAAUGCAUUGAUUGGAUUCAAUAUUGAAUAUUGAACAGUUAAAUAGUUAAUAGCCAUUUAACAAAAUAGAGAACUAGCCAAUGUACAUGUAAUUUUUUCAUGUUGAAAUAUUUAAAUACUUUUCAUGUUACACUUUAGCAUGUUCCUGUUAAUAAUUAAAAACAUCUUGUACAGAUUAAAGGUGACCAGUUCCAAGAAGAAGAAACAUGGAGAGAUACGCUGUAAGAAAUGAGUUAAUAUCAUGAAAAUGUGGGAAAUAAUUUUUGAAAAGUCUGAAUCUCAACUUGUGCUUUAUAAAUCACAACCCAGAAGUAACUGGGGAUUCAGCCAGAUAUCAUUAAUUGCAGAGGAAGAGAAACUAUAAAGACUGAAAUUUAUGUAAAA